UAGGUGCCCUGGCAGUUAUGUCCUGGAACAACGCACUGUAGUGAGAUUCAGGAUAGCCUGUUUUCUUAAGCCUUACAUCCUAUGUCUCUUACCUCUCUGCAUCUACUGGCUUGUAGAUGGUGAAUGAAUCUACUGGCCACCGCUGGUGAAUGAAAGCAGCUACAGCCCACUGCUGUGGCUAAGCAAGUCUGCCAGAAAGCUUGAAGAGGAGCCUCAGGUGCCCUUUACAGAGCAAAAGCAUCCUCUGAGUAGCUAAAGCUUGGACUUCUAAGUAAGGCAUCGAUGCGGAGAUCAUCCUGAUUCUGUUGACAUCCUGAAGUGAUGCUCAAUGCCAGGAAAUCUCUUCAGUCUUUAAAUUUAUCUGUCAAGGUCGAGCACAAGGUGCCAGAUGGUGAUCUGCAGUUCAACAACAGACCACAAGAGAAAAUGAAAUAGAGACAUUUAUUAUUCACAACCCUGGAGGAAGUAUCUGGUAUUUCCAACACUGUCAUUACAACAACUGUCUCCAUGCUAGUGAAAAAUGGAAACCGGCAAUCAUUUUUGA
This is a long non-coding RNA of Lynx canadensis (Canada lynx), 544 nucleotides long. RefSeq lists it as uncharacterized. Lineage: Eukaryota; Metazoa; Chordata; Mammalia; Carnivora; Felidae. The record is from RefSeq and is a predicted model, not a curated record. The transcript is spliced from 4 exons.